UACAGAGGUCCCGAGCGUUGUUCGGAUUCAUUGGGCGUAAAGGGUGCGUAGGCGGCGGGGAAAGUCUGAUGUGAAAUCCUGGGGCUCAACCCUGGAACUGCAUUGGAUACUUCCUUGCUAGAGUACUGGAGAGGAAACUGGAAUUUACGGUGUAGCAGUGAAAUGCGUAGAGAUCGUAAGGAAGACCAGUGGCGAAGGCGAGUUUCUGGACAGUUACUGACGCUGAGGCACGAAGGCCAGGGAGCAAACGGG
RNAcentral lists this ribosomal RNA (252 nucleotides) under uncultured bacterium. Its description in RNAcentral is "partial 16S ribosomal RNA". It matches the Rfam family "Bacterial small subunit ribosomal RNA", at positions 524 to 776 of the family's 1533-position model. The record is from RNAcentral.